GGGUUGUGAGGUUAAGCGACUAAGCGUACACGGUGGAUGCCCUGGCAGUCAGAGGCGAUGAAGGGCGUGCUAAUCUGCGAUAAGCGCCGGUAAGGUGAUAUGAACCGUUAUAACCGGCGAUACCCGAAUGGGGAAACCCAGUGUGACUCGUCACACUAUCAUUAACUGAAUCCAUAGGUUAAUGAGGCGAACCGGGGGAACUGAAACAUCUAAGUACCCCGAGGAAAAGAAAUCAACCGAGAUUCCCCCAGUAGCGGCGAGCGAACGGGGAGGAGCCCAGAGCCUGAAUCAGCAUGUGUGUUAGUGGAAGCGUCUGGAAAGGCGCGCGAUACAGGGUGACAGCCCCGUACACAAAAGCGCAUGUGCUGUGAGCUCGAUGAGUAGGGCGGGACACGUGGUAUCCUGUCUGAAUAUGGGGGGACCAUCCUCCAAGGCUAAAUACUCCUGACUGACCGAUAGUGAACCAGUACCGUGAGGGAAAGGCGAAAAGAACCCCGGCGAGGGGAGUGAAAAAGAACCUGAAACCGUGUACGUACAAGCAGUGGGAGCACAGGUUUACCUGUGUGACUGCGUACCUUUUGUAUAAUGGGUCAGCGACUUAUAUUCUGUAGCAAGGUUAACCGAAUAGGGGAGCCGGAGGGAAACCGAGUCUUAAUUGGGCGUUAAGUUGCAGGGUAUAGACCCGAAACCCGGUGAUCUAGCCAUGGGCAGGUUGAAGGUUGGGUAACACUAACUGGAGGACCGAACCGACUAAUGUUGAAAAAUUAGCGGAUGACCUGUGGCUGGGGUGAAAGGCCAAUCAAACCGGGAGAUAGCUGGUUCUCCCCGAAAGCUAUUUAGGUAGCGCCUCGUGAAUUCAUCUCCGGGGUAGAGCACUGUUUCGGCUAGGGGCCAUCCCGGCUUACCAACCCGAUGCAAACUGCGAAUACCGGAGAAUGUUAUCACGGGAGACACACGGCGGGUGCUAACGUCCGUCGUGAAGAGGGAAACAACCCAGACCGCCAGCUAAGGUCCCAAAGUCAUGGUUAAGUGGGAAACGAUGUGGGAAGGCCCAGACAGCCAGGAUGUUGGCUUAGAAGCAGCCAUCAUUUAAAGAAAGCGUAAUAGCUCACUGGUCGAGUCGGCCUGCGCGGAAGAUGUAACGGGGCUAAACCAUGCACCGAAGCUGCGGCAGCGACACUGUGUGUUGUUGGGUAGGGGAGCGUUCUGUAAGCCUGCGAAGGUGGCCUGUGAGGGUUGCUGGAGGUAUCAGAAGUGCGAAUGCUGACAUAAGUAACGAUAAAGCGGGUGAAAAGCCCGCUCGCCGGAAGACCAAGGGUUCCUGUCCAACGUUAAUCGGGGCAGGGUGAGUCGACCCCUAAGGCGAGGCCGAAAGGCGUAGUCGAUGGGAAACGGGUUAAUAUUCCCGUACUUGGUGUUACUGCGAAGGGGGGACGGAGAAGGCUAUGUUGGCCGGGCGACGGUUGUCCCGGUUUAAGCGUGUAGGUGUGUGUUCCAGGUAAAUCCGGUUCACUUUAACACUGAGGCGUGACGACGAGGCACUACGGUGCUGAAGCAACAAAUGCCCUGCUUCCAGGAAAAGCCUCUAAGCAUCAGGUAACAUCAAAUCGUACCCCAAACCGACACAGGUGGUCAGGUAGAGAAUACCAAGGCGCUUGAGAGAACUCGGGUGAAGGAACUAGGCAAAAUGGUGCCGUAACUUCGGGAGAAGGCACGCUGACACGUAGGUGAAGUGAUUUACUCAUGGAGCUGAAGUCAGUCGAAGAUACCAGCUGGCUGCAACUGUUUAUUAAAAACACAGCACUGUGCAAACACGAAAGUGGACGUAUACGGUGUGACGCCUGCCCGGUGCCGGAAGGUUAAUUGAUGGGGUCAGCGCAAGCGAAGCUCCUGAUCGAAGCCCCGGUAAACGGCGGCCGUAACUAUAACGGUCCUAAGGUAGCGAAAUUCCUUGUCGGGUAAGUUCCGACCUGCACGAAUGGCGUAAUGAUGGCGGGCUGUCUCCACCCGAGACUCAGUGAAAUUGAACUCGCUGUGAAGAUGCAGUGUACCCGCGGCAAGACGGAAAGACCCCGUGAACCUUUACUAUAGCUUGACACUGAACAUUGAGCCUUGAUGUGUAGGAUAGGUGGGAGGCUUUGAAGUGUGGACGCCAGUCUGCAUGGAGCCGACCUUGAAAUACCACCCUUUAAUGUUUGAUGUUCUAACGUGGACCCGUUACCCGGGUUGCGGACAGUGUCUGGUGGGUAGUUUGACUGGGGCGGUCUCCUCCUAAAGAGUAACGGAGGAGCACGAAGGUUGGCUAAUCCUGGUCGGACAUCAGGAGGUUAGUGCAAUGGCAUAAGCCAGCUUGACUGCGAGCGUGACGGCGCGAGCAGGUGCGAAAGCAGGUCAUAGUGAUCCGGUGGUUCUGAAUGGAAGGGCCAUCGCUCAACGGAUAAAAGGUACUCCGGGGAUAACAGGCUGAUACCGCCCAAGAGUUCAUAUCGACGGCGGUGUUUGGCACCUCGAUGUCGGCUCAUCACAUCCUGGGGCUGAAGUAGGUCCCAAGGGUAUGGCUGUUCGCCAUUUAAAGUGGUACGCGAGCUGGGUUUAGAACGUCGUGAGACAGUUCGGUCCCUAUCUGCCGUGGGCGCUGGAGAACUGAGGGGGGCUGCUCCUAGUACGAGAGGACCGGAGUGGACGCAUCACUGGUGUUCGGGUUGUCAUGCCAAUGGCACUGCCCGGUAGCUAAAUGCGGAAGAGAUAAGUGCUGAAAGCAUCUAAGCACGAAACUUGCCCCGAGAUGAGUUCUCCCUGAGACUUAAAGUCUCCUGAAGGAACGUUGAAGACGACGACGUUGAUAGGCCGGGUGUGUAAGCGCAGCGAUGCGUUGAGCUAACCGGUACUAAUGAACCGUGAGGCUUAACCUUACAACGCCGAAG
RNAcentral lists this ribosomal RNA (2924 nucleotides) under Salmonella enterica. RNAcentral's name for it is "23S ribosomal RNA". It matches the Rfam family "Bacterial large subunit ribosomal RNA". The record is from RNAcentral. Lineage: Bacteria; Pseudomonadati; Pseudomonadota; Gammaproteobacteria; Enterobacterales; Enterobacteriaceae.